This 487-nucleotide ribosomal RNA is filed under the name uncultured bacterium. Its description in RNAcentral is "partial 16S ribosomal RNA". It matches the Rfam family "Bacterial small subunit ribosomal RNA", at positions 28 to 507 of the family's 1533-position model. The record is from RNAcentral.
GACGAACGCUGGCGGCGUGCUUAACACAUGCAAGUCGUACGAUGACCCGGCUCUUCGGAGCUGGUGAUUAGUGGCGAACGGGUGAGUAACACGUGGGUGACCUGCCCUGCACUCUGGGAUAAGCCCGGGAAACUGGGUCUAAUACUGGAUACGACCAGUGGCCGCAUGGUCUGCUGGUGGAAAGCCCUUCGGGGUGGUGUGGGAUGGGCCCGCGGCCUAUCAGCUUGUUGGUGGGGUGAUGGCCUACCAAGGCGACGACGGGUAGCCGGCCUGAGAGGGUGUCCGGCCACACUGGGACUGAGACACGGCCCAGACUCCUACGGGAGGAAGCAGUGGGGAAGCUUGCACAAUGGGCGAAAGCCUGAUGCAGCGACGCCGCGUGAGGGAUGACGGCCUUCGGGUUGUAAACCUCUUUCGGCAGGGAACAAGCCUGGGGGUUUUCUUCUGGGUGAGGGUACCUGCGGAAGAAGCACCGGCUAACUACGUG